GCAACGUUGAUCAUUGACCAAUGUUCUCGAUUCAACCGAUCAGUUUUUGGCCGGAGGAUGGUAGAUGGGAGUUGGUGAUGCGUACGUUGGCGCUGGGGGGUGGUACUCAGGCUCAGGCUUUGGUUUGGGCUCAGGCUUAGGCUUCGGUGGCACAGGUUUCUUGUGGAAGUGGUCAAAGAACUUGUGAUAGUCAUGGUCCUUGUGGAAGUGAUCAAGGAAGUGCUUCUUGUCAAACGAUAUUUCUUUCACAACCGGAGGGUGGUAGAUCGGAGUCGGAGACCCGUAUGUGGGUGUCGGGGGGUGGUACUCAGGCUUAGGCUGCGGCUUUGGCUUUGGUGGCACGGGCUUCUUGUGGAAGUGGUCAAAGAUGUGGUGGUAGUCAUGGUGUUUGUGGAAGUCAUCGUGCAAGGGAUUCUUGUCGAACAAGUGCCUGGCAGGAGGGUGGUAGAUUGGUGUAGGUGACCCAUAUGUUGGCGUUGGUGGGUGGUACUCAGGCUCAGGUUGAGGUUUGGGCUCUGGCUUGGGCUUGGGUGGCACAGGCUUCUUGUGGAAGUGGUAAAAAAAGUGGUGGUAGUCAUGGCCUUUAUGAAAGUGAUCAGGCUCAGGCUGCGGCUUAGGCUGCGGCUUGGGCUCCGGCUUUGGCUUUGGUGGCACGGGCUUCUUGUGGAAGUGGUCGAAGAAGUGGUGGUAGUCGUGGUCCUUAUGAAAAUGGUCGAGCAAGGGCUUCUUGUCAAACAAAUGUCUAGCUGGAGGGUGGUAGAUCGGUGUGGGUGACCCGUAUGUUGGAGUCGGAGGGUGGUAUUCUGGCUGUGGCUUGGGCUCUGGCUUCGGCUUUGGUGGAACUGGCUUCUUGUGGAAGUGGUCAAAGAAGUGGUGUGGCUUAGGUUCUGGUUCUGGUUUGGGUUCUGGCUUCGGCUUCAGCGGAGAUGGCUUCUUGUGGAAGUGGUCCAAGAAGUGGUGAUAGUCGUGGUCCUUGUGGAAGUGAUCAACCAUGUGCUUCUUGUCGAACAACUGCCUUGCUGGAGGAUGGUAGAUUGGAGUUGGGGAUCGAUAUGUUGGCGUAGGGGAGUGGUACUUCGGCUGCGGCUUAGGUUCUGGCUUUGGCUUUGGCUCUGGCUUCGGCUUCGGUGGCACAGGCUUCUUGUGGAAAUGGUCCAACAGGUGCUUCUUGAUCGGCCCGCAUAGGGUUGCCGACGCGCAUUCUGCCGACGGGUAGUCUGUCUUGCCAGGGACCACGACGAAGUUGCCAUCGGACGACUGCGGCACAAUCCUGGAAGGUUCCUGACCGGGGCACGGGGUGCCCGCGGCGCUGUGGAGCUGCGCAACGCAGUCAGCGGCGUGCAUGUCCGUGCUCAGCGGGAUGCUGAAGGCGCCGGAGACAUCUAGCUUGCCUAUGGCCUUGCUCUCGUACUCGCCUUUGCUGUUCCUGCACUUGAUCGCCACCUCAAGACCUGAAAUGCAUGGAUCGAAAAGCACCGUCAGUACCAGCAGCUAGCUUCUUCUGACCUUACUGAUCAGCUUAAAGCAUUGAGUAUCCACUGUUUAUGUUAUUAGCUUAAUUAAAUAUGCAUGUAUAUUAUUCCUAGUAUAUUUACCCUUGAAUGCCGCUUCGGCCUUCAUGUUCUUCCUGGUGCAAUCGGCGCAUUUGGCGAGGCCGAUAACCACCGAGGACGCCUCACUGGAGGCAGCGCUUGCGACGGCUAUUACCAUCAGCACGGCGAAAAUGCCGGGGAGAAGGCCCCCAUGUACCGCAGCCAUGGCUAGAUGGAUGACUCGAUGAGAUGAAGAAGAGGCAAUGCAAUGCCUGCCUUAUAUAGGCCUACGCAUUGAUCAAACACAGCUCGAUCUUACAUGCAUGCACGCAUGAUCACGAGCUGGUGAGGACUGAGGCGCCAGCACACAUAAUUUUGGCGCCGAAAUUGCAGACCGGCCGGGAAUUAAUGCCGUCCAUUUGAGUUGAUCAAUCUCUGUCUGUCCAUUCAUCAUGUCCAGUCGGUUGGUAGUAGUUGGAGUUGUGUAAGUUACGUCAGUUGCGGCACUUUGGAUUUGCAUGCAUGCAGCGCCAGUACAUGCCCUGUGUAAUGCAGGUUUCCAUUGGUCACAUCGGAAAAGCAAAGCUUGUAAAAGCGCGUGUCCGGUGUGCUCAUCUGCUGGACAAUAAAUUUCAGAACAGUAUAGUAUAGUUUGGUUUGUUUCAGAAAAGGGACAGUACUUUCGGAAUGUGGAUACAAAAUAAGUUCUUUCUGACCGCGUGUAGUUGGAUACAACAUAUAGUAGCACAAAAAAGCUCUAUGAUGACGGUAGUGUCUAAUUUAUAGACGCGGCGAGCCCAAUUCAAGAACCGCCACUGUAAACCCAUUUACACUGACAGUUCACUUAAGGAAACUGUCAGUGUCAAUAGUGCAUUUCCACUAGCGGUUUCCUUAAGUGCUGUGCAAAUAGAUUUACACCAGUGGUACCUUAUGUCAGCCGCCAGUGAAGUUUUUGGUAUAAAUACUCAUUCUUCCUCCACGAGUAGAACUGUUUCUCACAACCACCUUCUAUUAGAGGCCAUUUUGGAGGUCUAGAUUUUUAGGAGGUUGCUAAGAAAUGUUAGUUUAUAUCUCUCUUGCCUCUUUUUGUUCAUUCUUGCUCAAUUUGAACCACUUUAUGGAUCUAGGAUUUCACCAUAUGUUAGAGAGAAGAAUAGCUAGGUUAUUAUCUUUAUUUGCUCAAAUGAUCUUAAGAUUGUUAGAUGAUGUCUCUCCUCUAUCCCUUUUUAUUUUUGCUUCUCACUUUAGUUUAUCCAAGAUAUAUUUAGUUAUUUUCAUGAAUUGUGUGUUCUUGUCUAUUUAUGUAGAUAGAGAAAUAUAGGUUCUUUUGUUAGUUUUAUAAAUUGUGUAGUUUUUUGUCUUCAUUUCUCAAUUUGAUUUAAUUAUCCACUAUGUAUUUAUGUUUCAUGAAUGGUGUGUUUGUAUGUAGAGGGGAAGAUAGGUUUCUUAAUUAAUUAAGAUUAUUGUGUUUAUUAAUUAGAAAAUAUGAAAGAGGUUUCUUUGUUUACCACUAUGUUGUUGACUGAGGUUACUUAGUACGGUUAAUUUUAUUCUUCUAACUUUUAGCGAACCUUGCUUCAAGGUCUAUAAAUUGGAAAAUAUACAAGUGGGAGGUUUUCAUCUUCAUUUCUUCGAAAGAGGUUGGUGAUCAAAAGAUUAGAUAAUAAAUAUCUCUAGACAAUCAUACUUGUUUUGCAUUGAUUAUAAUUAAUUCAUUAUAUUUUUUAUAUGUAAUGAUGGAGAGGUCAUUUUGGAUGUAUAAUUUAUCAAGACUAAAUCCAUCAUAUAUACCCGAGGUCCCUAGGUUUUUUGAUGCUGACUAAGAACCAUGCUUGGAGAACAAAGAUGAAGCACAUCUAUUGUCCAUGCAUAGACUGUACAAAUGUUAUUGUAUUUGAUGACACUAAAUCAAUCAUUUAUUAUUUGGUCUAACAAGAAUUUAUGAUGGAUUACUUGUUUUGGACAAAGGGUAGCUUGCGCCUUAUACAAAUAGAAACCUUACGAACAUCGACGUUGAUGCUGAUGGAUUUCCGUUCCUACAUGAGAUACAACAACCUCUUUCCUAGAGUGAACAUGUUGUGCCAAAUGUUACGGUUAUGGAAGAUGUAGAAUUCUUAGGGUAAAGUUGCAUCAUCAUAUGGAUCCAUGAAUAUUAUUAAUGAAAGGUAUGGAAGCCCUGAUAAAGGCUGCAGAAGAGACUUUGCACGACGAGUCUAAGGGUUAUACCAAAGAGUUCAUGACACUGCGGUCUAUGCUAAAGUUGUCGAUGUUAAAAGCUAGAUAUGGUAUGUCUGAUGCUGGCUUGGAUGCAUUCUUGUGUAUUAUUGCAGACAUGCUUCCAAAGGGAAACAAUGUGUGUGCUAAGACGUACUAUGUAAAGAAACUAAUCAGUCCGCUCACUAUGGGUAUGGAGAAGAUCCACGCGUGUCAUGAUGACGAUGAUUAUAAGGACUUAGAGAGUUGUCCAAAGUGUGGUGCAACUACGUACAAGACAAAUAAAGACUAUCGAGAGAAAGAGUGUGUUGCCUCCAUUUCUAAAGGAAAGAAGCGAAAGGAGACCAAAUAGAACAAACAAUAAAGUUCAAAAUCUAGAAAAAUAUUCCUACUUUGAUGAUGUGGUGUAACACCCUAGUGUUAAGUAUGCAUUAAGGCUUCAUCAAACUUAUAUGAGCAUUGGCACAAGCAUGAGCAUCUCAUGUGUUGUGCUAUAUUUUAUGCAUAUCUUUUAAAUGUGAAUUAAUUUUGAUAAUUGUCAUGCUAUGUCUAAAAAUGCUUGUUAUGCCUAGAUUAAAUUGUUUUAUGCCUAAACUUAAAUUAGAAAAUUUAAGUACCAUUUUUGGAGCCCUAGAAUUAAAGGAGUUGAUUUAAAUUAAAAUUUCGCAAAAUAGAUUUAUUUCAAACCUAGAACUAACUUUAAAUUGAAAUUCAAAAUCCAUUUGGAUUCUUGAUUUGCACCAUAAAGCAAAGUUAUAGAGAAUUUUAUUUUGAGCAACUUUUAUUUUUGGGUCAACUCCUGAAAAUGCAUUUAAAACAGUGUUUAAAAAUUAAUUGAGAAAAUAAAUUCAAAAAAAAGAGAAGGGAGGAGCGCCCUACUGGGCCACGCACCUUGCUUCUGGCCCAGCAGCCAAAGCCGGCCUGGCUCGUGAGCACAUCCCCUUCCUCCUCAGGCGCGCACUGUGGCCAGGUGACGUCGUGGCCGACCGUGCGUAGGCCAGCCGCGCCACGUGGAUGGCAAGCAACGGCAGCGGCUACGACAGUGCCUGCUUGCCCGAGCAGAAGGGGACGACAGCGGCUCUGCGUUGUCCACCUUCUCCACUCCACCCCGACCACACCUCUCUUGCUCUCGUCUCACAAAGCAGAGCUUGACAGCACCAUCGUCCGCCAUAGCCGCUACCGAGCUCCAGCGUCGACGUUCCAUCUUGUUGGUCGCUCCCGCCCUCGAUUCCUCCUGUCCACCGCUCCGUCUUCAUUCUCCUCAUCUCUGAAUGAGUCGGAUUGCCUCCCUUGGCUCAAGGUGAGGGAUAGCCGGCUGUCUUCUUCUUCUCUAGUGUGAACGUCGCAGCGGUUCAUGUGGUCAGCAAGGCCGCCGAGCCUCUUCCUCCUUCCUUUUGCGCGCAUCACAUUCGCCUUGACCUCGCCAAGCUCGUGCGUGCUCUGGUUCAUGCUCUACGCCGGAGUUCGUGAGUCCACCAUCCAGCAGAGCCAUCGUGCCGCCAUGGCCGGCGACGAGCUUGCUUCGGGGUGUCUCCAGACAAACCACCGCGCGCAUCCUGUUCGCCUAGGCUCGGGGAACACACAUGAGUGCUCGGUGUUGCCGUAGGGUUCACCGACAGCGAGAUCAGGCUCGCCGGAGUUCUCCCCCUCUCUGUGUGGCUAACAGGUGGGGUCGAGGACCCACUUGUCUAUACCUGUGUGCGGAUGCGGGUGCACUGCACCGGGUACACCUAGUAGAACUCGCCGAGACUUGAUUCUCAAUUUAAAGAAAUGUUUUUCAGAUAAUGGUUUAAAGCUUGUAAAAAUCAUAGCUUGAUUUCUAUUGCUCCAAAAAGUUUAAACAAAUUUUGUUAUGCUCUAUAUUAGUAGAUCUAAAGUUCGGUGUACUUGGUGUGAGACUUUUCUGUGAAGGUUUAUUUAAAUCUUGAAAAUAUUGAUUUCUUAUAAAAUAUGCAAAAAAUAAAAUAUAGCUCUGAAAAAUGUACUUCCUAUCUUGGUACAUUUGCACUACAAUCUAGCCUCUGUGAAAAAUGAGGAACCUAAUAUUACUCUACAAAAAUAAUUAUUAGUGAAUUAAUGCUUGCAUGAUGAUGGUUUAAGAUUUUUAAUAAAUAAUAUAUAAAUGCAAUUAAUCUAAGAAUUUUUGUAGGGCUCUCCUAUGUUACAAAGUAUUAAGGAAAAAUAUUAAAUUUGUUGUCUGACACUUUUGUAUGUAUAGAGUAUUUUCCAUUGUUUAUGUUUAGCAUACUUGUGAUUUUUGUGUGGGCCAUUUUACUUACCCAAAUUUUGUGAAAGUUUUAUGGUAGACUAUAUGUGUGAUCUAUAAGCUACUGUAAUUUUUAUGGAACUUAUUGAAUACCAGAGGUAUAUGUUGUUGUUAUUGGCCUAGUAAUAAAUAAAUAAAUAAAGAAUUAUUUUAUGUGAACUUGAAAGUAAUUAAACAGUUUGGUGUAUCUUUGAAGCAUUCUAAUGUGUGCUGCUUUAUCUUGGUAGGUGUAGAAAAAGAAUAGAAUAGAAUAACUUGUACUUAAGUUACAUGUUCUUGGAUGACAUUGACUACCUAGUACAAAUAGAUCACAUUGUCUUUUUGUCAUGACUCCCCUCUACCGGAGAGGAGAUAUGCACAUACUCAGUAAAUAACACAUCAUGACCACCCUUGUGAUCAUCUGCAUAAUCAUGCACCAUAUGUUCACCAUCCACUUACUUGAGCAUAUGCAUCAUACAGGCUCGUAGAAGAACGACGUGGUGACCGAACCUGAGGAGCCGGAGGUGACCGAGGUGCAGGAGAUCACUGAGGUGGAAGAGCAAGAAGAGGAGCUGCAAGAGUGUCUAGAUCACAGUCCUAGUUCUUUCGAGAAAGGCAAGCCUUGCUCCCCAAAUUUUCUGCUAAUUAUAUAUAUAUCAUGAUGGUUAUAUUGUUAUAUUAAGUUAUAGGAGUUGCUUGAUACCAUUGAUGUAUUGAAUAUCCCUUGGAAUAUCACCUUUCUACAUACCUUAUCCUAUGUAGUAUGGGCUCAGAGUCAAUGCUUAGCUCUGCUUAGCACAGUAGAAGUCGGAUGAUUCCCUGUCACCUGCGAGCUGUAGGUGGUCACCAAAGGUUUGGCAGUAUGUUUGCUAUCAUAAGUAAUAACCAAAUGUUGGGAAGCAAAGCUAAGACCGGACGAAACCUUUUGGGGGUGUUGGACCAUAGUGAUUCUGUCCUUGUCGAUUAAGGACCGAUCAUUGGUGGUCCUCUUGUCAUGUUGAACGCAUACCCUACACUUAACUUGAAGGAUAAGUUGUUCUGACUGUGAAGGUGGGACGCUAUUUGGGCCAGGAAUUGACCUGAUGUACGCACUGUAUUGGAGAUAGUUGAGGAGACUGAUGAGGGCGCGACGUGCAACCUUGGUAUGCCUUGGAUACCUUUGUCAUCGGAACGGUCCUUGGGUAUGGUGGUGCCUGCUGAACCGUGAAUUGGUCCUGAAUAGUGCAUCCGGUGACCUGUAGCUUACUUGAUCAGUGAGUGUGGCUUAUGUAGGGAAUAAAAUCACUAGCUGGUUAGGAAUUGUUUCGAAUCAUCAUCGCUCCUGGAUAGUAAGCACUUGACUUGAGCUUUGUCAUCGUAUUAAUGUUUAUGGAACACUGGAUGGUUAUGAGAUAUUGAUGAAGCUGGAAAAGCUGCACUAAAUUGGUAUUAUUGUACUGAAUCAAGUGAUUGCUAUAGUACAGGUGUUAAUCUAGAUGAUAGGUUAAUGAUACUUAACUUGAGCUAAUUAUCUAAAAAGGUUAUUUACUUAGUAACUUAAGAUUUUAUGGAAAGUUUGUGUCGAGCUACCCCUUUAUACAGCCUUACAUGAUCUUUGGUGUCAUUUAUUUCUGUUUUGUGAUAGGUAAGUCUAGCUGAGUAUAUUCUCAUAAUCAGGGCUCUGUUUCCAUGUUGUUUUGCAGAUGGGCAGAUGUACUAUGGGUACUGUAUUAACUGUCUUUACCUAGCUAUGGGUGAUGCUUAGACCAAUGGUGUGGUCACUUUGUCUUAUCUUUUGAUUUUGUGGGAAUCAUCAGACUCUAGCACUGUAAUCAAACUAAGUUUGUGUGUUUUCUAAAACUAUUCACUUCCGCUACUACUUUCAAGACUUGGUUUGUAAUAACUAAAUUCAAACUCCAAUGUACUGAAAUGUUUGUCAAUGAUAUGUAUUGUAUGAAUGGCGACCACUGAACUUAUUACGAUCUCUGUUAUGUUUGAGGAAAUUUUGAGAUCCUUCGAGAUUUCAUGGACUACCGGGAUUAUAUGGGCUUAAGUCUUUUAUAAUUUGGACAGUUCUGUUACAGCUAGUGUUGGAGCCAGUUUUAGCGGAUUACAGUUCAUAAGUAUAUUUAAAACAAAUUAAAUUUGUUUACAAAAACUGAUUAUCCAUCACGAAUUAUCAAGGUGUUAAAGUGAAUUUUGGAAAAUUAUAAGUGUGCUAGUGGUCAUAUCCUUUAUGUCUAGUUAAAGACUCUAAGGUGGCUAUUUAAGUACUGACUUGUUGGUUUAUGCAUCAUAUUUCUCUUUCAUUGCUCAUAUGGCAUUGUUGACAUUUACUACCGCCAUUACUAAAAAUAUAGAUAAACCCUACCUCUAGCAACAACGGCAAAAAUGCUCGGUAUAUAAUUAACUUAUCAUUAAGCAACUAGCCACUUCUUAAUGACUAACAUUCCUAAACAUGAAGUAGGUUGUCAUCCCUAAUUAUAUUGCUAGGAAUUUAUUAUAUAUUCACAUGUACUAUUGUGACUAGGCAGAAAUAAAAGAUAUGAAUAUGAUUAUAAACUAAAUGGGUUCUAGAAGUGGACAGAUAAUUAUACCAUUGUAGGAUUUUACCUAGGGAAGUAUCCAGGUUGUCGAUUUAUAUUUAUACCACUGGGAAGGCUAUGUGUUAAACAAUAAUCUAUUAUAUUGAUAAGAAACUAUAUAGGAUGAAUAAAUGAUAUUACCAAGGUUGUCUAAUCUACUCAUAACAGGUAGAGGUCACAAGAUAAAUAUGGGUAAAUAAUAAUGAUAGCAUAAUCAUCAAGUAUCAUAUUUAUGAAUAAUCAUUAGAGCAUCUACUAGUCAUGAUCAUAGUUAGCCAUUAGAUAAACUAGGGAGUUGGAUCUAAGGUAAUUCUAUAACUACAUCACUGAAUAACUCUAAUUAGUGCAAUUACAUCUAGAAAUCAUUGUUGAGCUAACCCUAUAUCAUAGUCACAUGUAAAGAGGCAUCAACUAAUGAGGGUAUUAAGACACAAGGGUCACCUCCUUCGCGACCGUGCCCAUGCUAGUCCUACGUACGAAGGGUGGACUACAGAGGAUACGCAACUGUCACCUAUGCGGUCUACCACACGACCCGACACGUCAGAGUGCACUCGCAGAUAAACAAUAUAUCUAGACACCACGUCUACAUAUUAUCUAUCAUCAACCCAAAGAUCUAUUAGGUCAACGCUAUAUGAGCAAUUACAUGAAUUCAAUAAGAUCAAACCAACUAUCCUAGACAUAUAAUCAAAGUAGACAAUGGCUAUUGCAAUUAAGAAUAUAUGAAUCUAUUAAGAACAAAGUCUCCCUAAUAUACAAUUGAAUACUAUAAAGUAAGAACAAGAUCUAUUACCGAACUCUUGCGCUCCAGACCGAAGCUAGGGGCUCCAGAUCCCGAUGAAGAACUAGAUCUCCUCUACUUCCAAUCUAACUAACUAGAACUACGAACUAGAAGGCUCUUGAUGAACUUGAAGGCGCUUGAUGCUUGAUGGCUCGAGGCCUUGAUGAAUAAUGGAUUGGUUUAUUUCUCCAGGGGGGUCUACCCCUGUAUUUAUAGUCCGGAGGGAUGCGCGUGCGUCGUAGGAUCAAACCGACUUAACCAAGGGCCGAGAUGACUCCUCGUAGGUGGUGGAGGAAGCUUCUAGAAGAGGAAGGUCAAAACCCUAGAUGGGGCACCAGCCGGUGCUAGGGUGGGGCCAGCUGGCCCCACCUGGCAGCCGCCUGGCCCCCUGUUGCUUUGGGUGUCUUCUCGAUCCUUCCUGAGUCCUCCCGUGAUAUUUCCCGUGGUGGAUAAGUUUCGUGUUUAUUUUGUACUAGAAUCCCUCUUUUCAGCUUUCCUAGAAUUCACCCUGAAAAAUACAGGAUAUACAAAACUCGUGGAAAUUGUCAGUUUAAACCCUAGACUAGUGUGUUUUCAUGUUCUCCUUCGGGUUUAAAGCUCUAUAAAAGUUGACGUUAUCGAUCAUCAAUCUCACACCCAUAUUUUAAGAACAAAAUAGGAUGCAUAAAAGACUCAUAUGUGCCCCAGAAACAGUCGCACACAUAAGUAGACAAAUCUCAAAUGUACCAUUGCAGUGUUUAUUACAUAGGGGAACAAUAAUAAAUCACAUAGUCUUAUACAAGAAUGAUAAUAAGAUUAAACAACGCUCUCGACGGAAGCACCACACAGGGACACUGUUGACUAGUUGACUCCAAGCCUAAUACUCAUAACGGUAGUCCUCAUUCCAAUCAUCAUCAUUAGCAUAACCUGGGGUGUUGGGAAAUUGCAAGAGUGAGCACAUAUAGUACUCAACAAGUAUAACCAGGGGUUCAUGAGGCUCAAAUAGCUGACACUGGUUUUACUGAAUUUAGCUUUUAUAUGUAGAUAGCAUGUUUAUAUUUAGAUAGCCAAUAUCAAGGUAGCAUAGUAAAUCCCAUAACCACAUGAUCAAUGUAUACAAGAAUAAAGAAUAACACAUAUAAAUAACAUAAUAAACCAUCAUUUAUUAUCAUUAAUCAUAUUCAUCAGUGUCCAUCUAUUCCGUCAGUUUUUUGGGCCGCCCGUAUCCGUGGGCACGGCUAGUAUACCAGAUUUAACACUCUGCAGAGGUUGUACAUCUUUACCCAUGAGUCAUGAUUUACCCUUUCGCCCAAGGUAGCUAAUAUCUUAACCUCCUUCCUAGGGAGGUCGGUAGGGAUCACUAUGAAGCCUUUCAAAAGUUCGUCUAACAUGUUAGGGCCGCAAAGUUUCCUUCGUGCGCAGAUAUAGAUACCCCCCUUCCAAAUGGCAUAAUGACGCGCAGCCUAUACACAUAAGGAUAGGGGCUCGCACUAUACCCAAAACGGUUCAGCCCCUCUAGCGUCCUUUCGGGUAACCUCUAACAAGCUAGAAAAGGUCUUCAUACUGAGCUAAAGCCAGAGCCAUAUAACCCUCAUAGUUGUACGAGUUAUCCCAGCUUUUGCCAAGGGAUAAGUCCUUAUGAAGGGUCAAGAUCAAUCCAGCAAAAGCCAGAGUUCUUUCCACCCUUUAUAUUCAAGUUGCUAGAAAGCUUAUUUUAUUGUUUAUUGUAUAUUCAAAUAUUUAUGUUACAAGAUCAUGGAUUAAUAAUCAAGCACUAGCAAGAACUACCCACAUGCAUAUCCAAAUAGGUAACAAGGAAUUCAGGAUAACAAUCAUCUAUGAUUUUGCUAAAGUCAUCAAGGUGGACACAUGCAUAUGAUAUAUGUAUUAAAAGUGUGUAGGUAACAAGGAUGAUCCUAAGUUAUACUUGCCUUGAUCAAAGCUCUCCUGAGCCUGCUGCUGGUCUUCAAAAGAUGGACCUUGAUCACCAACGUAUCAUUCUCUGUCUAUACUCAAUCAUCAAUCAACAACACGCAAUCCAAUGUAGACAUUCAUACACGAAGCAAACAAGCUAUUAUUAGAACAAUACACCAAACAAUGGUAAAACAAAUAUAAAAGUUUAUCAAAAUAUUCUACGCAGCGCUACGAUCACAUAAAUGUAAAGUUCACGAAAAUCAGAAUUAAAACGUAGAAGAUAUGAAUUUUCCAAGAUUUCCUAUUGAUAAAUAAUUAGUUAAAUACUACUGCAAAAUUAAAAAGUUUCAAAACAGAGAACUAAUACUCCUAACAUGUAGAGCUCGUAAUUACGAACCUAACGCACUUUGAAUGGACAAAAAUGGAGUUAAAACGAAUAUUUUAUGAGCAAAACAAAAUCAAUGGCAAUUCUGUAAAUACUGGAAAGCGUAAUUUGAUUCAAACCGACGAAAAUACGCUUUUAGAAAAUGAAAACGUAAACCAGAAAAUACGUAAAGGACGGCGGGUUGAUUCCUCGGACCCUAGGGGUCUCUUUAGCAAAAUAACCCCUGAAGGGGUAUCUUCUGUUCUGGUGCGUCGGAUUUCGAUCGGACGGUUGAAAUUGCGCAGGGGUGAGAUCCGGCCGACUGCCUCGCCGGAACAGGAGCCCGACGCGGCGGCGCCAUGGCCGGAGGAGCCGAGCUCGGCGGCGCUCAUGGUUUCGACGACUCAGAGCCUCCGCGGAAGAAAGAAAUGCACCGGGCGGAAGAGGAGCUUACCCCGAGCUCGCCUAAGCACCUUUCUAAGGCCGAGGACGCGCGUAUGGAGCUCGCGGCGGCGGCGAGAAGAACUUUGCUCGGUGAGAUCCCAAAACGCAAGAAAACGGUGGCUAGGGCACAGUUUGGCAAUUUAGAUGCAAAGAGGAGUUUGCGGCGGUGUUAGGGAGUCUUAUAGGACGCGAUUGAGCAAGAAAGCCCGGGUUCUUCGGGAUUUGGAAGGUGCGGCUUGAG
Molecule: long non-coding RNA, 12275 nt
Filed under: Sorghum bicolor (sorghum)
Lineage: Eukaryota; Viridiplantae; Streptophyta; Magnoliopsida; Poales; Poaceae
Description: long non-coding RNA (SBIC_LNC001159)
Source: RNAcentral